This 459-nucleotide ribosomal RNA is filed under the name uncultured bacterium. RNAcentral's name for it is "bacterial SSU rRNA". It matches the Rfam family "Bacterial small subunit ribosomal RNA", at positions 28 to 524 of the family's 1533-position model. The record is from RNAcentral.
AGCGAACGCUAGCGGCGGGCCUAACACAUGCAAGUCGAGCGCAUACCUUCGGGUAUGAGCGGCGGACGGGUGAGUAACGCGUAGGUCAUCUACCCUUUGGUGGGGGAUAACCCAGGGAAACUUGGGCUAAUACCGCACGAGGUCCACGGAUCAAAGCCUUCGGGCGCCAGAGGAUGAGCCUGCGUCGCAUUACCUAGUUGGCGGGGUAACGGCCCACCAAGGGGACGAUGCGUAGCUGGUCUGAGAGGAUGAUCAGCCACACUGGGACUGAGACACGGCCCAGACUCCUACGGGAGGCAGCAGUGGGGAAUAUUGCGCAAUGGGGGGAAACCCUGACGCAGCCACGCCGCGUGGGUGAUGAAGGCCUUCGGGUUGUAAAGCCCUGUCGGGAGGGACGAAGUUCUUGACGGUACCUCCAAAGAAAGCACCGGCUAACUCCGUGCCAGCAGCCGCGGUAAU